UACGUAGGGUGCGAGCGUUAAUCGGAAUUACUGGGCGUAAAGCGUGCGCAGGCGGUUUGGUAAGACAGAUGUGAAAUCCCCGGGCUUAACCUGGGAACUGCAUUUGUGACUGCCAGACUAGAGUGUAGCAGAGGGGGGUAGAAUUCCACGUGUAGCAGUGAAAUGCGUAGAGAUGUGGAGGAAUACCGAUGGCGAAGGCAGCCCCCCUGGGCUAACACUGACGCUCAUGCACGAAAGCGUGGGGGGAGCAAACAGGAUUAGAUACCCUGGUAGUCCACGCCCUAAACGAUGUCAACUAGGUGUUGGGGAAGGAGACUUCUUUAGUACCGCAGCUAACGCGUGAAGUUGACCGCCUGGGGAUACGGUCGCAAGAUUAAAACU
RNAcentral lists this ribosomal RNA (381 nucleotides) under uncultured bacterium. RNAcentral's name for it is "bacterial SSU rRNA". It matches the Rfam family "Bacterial small subunit ribosomal RNA", at positions 524 to 901 of the family's 1533-position model. The record is from RNAcentral.